Long non-coding RNA from Apteryx rowi (Okarito brown kiwi), 1334 nucleotides. The record is from Ensembl. NCBI's taxonomy places the organism in Eukaryota, Metazoa, Chordata, Aves, Apterygiformes, Apterygidae.
GGGGCAGCACAGACACCGGUGGGAUCCUCCACUUCUUUUGGUGGCUAAGUUUAGAUCAGGUUAACCUGGGAGCAAAACCACAUUGCUAGAAAAAAAAAAAAGUCUUCUCUUCAACAGAAUUUGGUCAAUGCUUUGGUUAACAUCUAAAGAAGAAUCAUUUGCGAGAAUUGUGCCUCUCAGCCCUCCAAAAGUCCUGCCAGCGCGACCACAAGGAAAGCUUGGACUGUUCUGACAUCUGGAUUGAAAAAAAAACCACCAGCAGAAGGAAGACUCCUUCAUGCCUCAUUAUUCUGAAGCGAAAGUACUCUGAUUCAACUUCCCAAUUGUGGGCUUUUUGCCCUUGUGCAAGUCAAAUCCCUCCUGCAUCCAAAYGCUGGUGAUGACCAAGGUGCGAGAGGAGAUGGUGCGGAAGAACCAGAAGUCCAUCUAUUCSUGGCUGGCUGACCACCCGUAAGGGGCUCUGCAUCUGGAGUGUGAUUUGGGGCCACCCCGGGGUCACAUCUCAAGCAACUGACUAUAGGAAUCUCCUCUGCAGUUCCCUCACUUCUUUGGUGCCAGAUCUGAAUCUCACAUAUUUGAGGCUUUGAAGAAUCCAUUGCCCAUGCCCGACCACAUAAAGCCCCAGUGUUACUGAAAUUACAAAAGCUGCUAAUGAGUACCUGCAAUGGGAGRCAGUUGCUUCAGACUAAGGAUUUGCUUGUGCAAACUCAGCGAAGAACACUUAAUCUGAAUUAACUAAAAGUGUGAAUUGAAAUUGGAUUAGUAGUGCCACAUAAAUGGAUGGAGUCCACUCUUCAGAGUUAAAAUGGCCCUAAUUUGUUUCAGCAUAAUUAUGAAAGAGAAUGUUAUACAGAGCUUUAAUGAGAUAUACCUUACUCCUUGUAAAAGUUAGUCUGGGUUAAUUUAUAUGUGUGUCCCAGUAGGGGUGGGAUUGGAAUAUAGUCCUAAAAAUUUUUAGUAGGAAAUUUUUAUUGACUUACUGUGGAUUUUAAUAACUGAUACUGAUAAUGUAGUAAUCUGUUUUUAUUAUGAUUAUACUAUUUUUAAUCUUAGGAUAUAAAAGCUCUGAAUAAGCAGUUAAUUAAUCCUCACCAUGUCCCUGCAACAUUGGUAAAGGCUUUGUAACAAUCAGUUCAUUUGUUACUGAACUAUAUCUGCCUUUAGUGUGGAAUAUAGCAAGGCAGAGCAGCGUUACAAGAAAUGGGAGGGAAGAUGAAUAUCAAAUCUCAUUGAAUGUAUAGGAGGAAUUAAGUAAGAAAAAAAUGUUAUUACCCAGUUUAGAAUUUGGUCAAGCCACCAUGGUGGACUCGCAAGAAAAUGCCAGGGGAGCUUUA